Molecule: long non-coding RNA, 1021 nt
Filed under: Monodelphis domestica (gray short-tailed opossum)
Lineage: Eukaryota; Metazoa; Chordata; Mammalia; Didelphimorphia; Didelphidae
Description: lncRNA (ENSMODG00000038148.1)
Source: RNAcentral
GUUCCUUCCUGUGUGACCUUAAGCAGGUCACUUACUUUCUCUGUGCCUCAAUUUACUUGUUAAAGAAAUGAGGAUGAAAAUGAGAUCCAACUAGGGGGGCCUUUGAAGUCCCUUCACUUUCCUCUCAUGUGAUGACUACCAUUUCUUUGAACAAUAAUCACCAAUAUGUUACUUUACUAUUUUCAAAAUGUUCUAUACAUAUUCCAUGAUGAUGAUGAUGAUGAUGAUUGUAGCUAGAAUUUAAAUAGCACUUUAUAAUUUGCCAAGUGCUAAACAAUAUUUUAUUUCAUCCUUAGAAAAACCUGCAAGGUCAGUACAAAUGUUAUCCUUAUUUUCUAGAUGACACAGUGGAGACAGAGGUUAAUUGGCUUGCUCAAGGCUAUAAAAUUAGUAAGAGCAUGAGGUUGAAUUUGAACUCAUAUCUUCAUUAUUUGAGGUACACUGCUCUAUCUACUGUGCAAUUAACCCUCUCAUUUGAUCCUUUCAACAUACCUGGGAGGGUUUCUUUUAUCCUGACUUUACAGGACAUUAGGAACAGGUAAACCAAUUUGGUUAGGAGGAAGCCUGAAGGAGCCAUUGAUAAGGAGCAGAGAAAGAUUUAGAGCUACAAAGAGCCUUAAGAAACCUUGAAGACCAAAUCCAUCAUUUUACAAAAGAGAACAUAGAGGUUGAGAGAUGGUAAAUGAUUAGUCUCAAGUCAUACAGCUAGUAAGUGUAUGAGGCUAGAUUUUAACUCAGUCUUCCUGACUCCAAGCCUUGAAUACCAUCCACAGUGCCACCUAGUCUCCAAAACAAAAAUGGUGGGCUGAGGCUAGUUGAAGAGAAGAGUCAUAGUUUGGUGGAAAGAGAAUGGUCUUAGAAUUGGAAGAAAUGAGUCUGAGUUACAGCUUAACAAUUAAGUAAGGUGAGGCCAUUUAUUCUACUUCUUUAUCCUUUGCUCUUCCAAUUAAAAACUACCAACAAUAAUACUGAUAAUGACCUUUUCUUAAGGAAUGCUACCUGAGAUAAAAGAGUAUGCCAA